GCCUGGGUGGCUCAGUGGGUUGGGCGUCUGACUUUGGCUCAGGUCAUGAUCUUGUGGUUGGUGGGUUCGAGCCCUGCCUCGGGCC
This 85-nucleotide transfer RNA is filed under the name Felis catus (domestic cat). It matches the Rfam family "tRNA". Rfam says of the family: Transfer RNA (tRNA) molecules are approximately 80 nucleotides in length. Their secondary structure includes four short double-helical elements and three loops (D, anti-codon, and T loops). The record is from Rfam by way of RNAcentral. Lineage: Eukaryota; Metazoa; Chordata; Mammalia; Carnivora; Felidae.